This 115-nucleotide ribosomal RNA is filed under the name Esox lucius (northern pike). The record is from RNAcentral. Lineage: Eukaryota; Metazoa; Chordata; Actinopteri; Esociformes; Esocidae.
GCUUACGGCCACACCUCCCUGAGCACGCCCGAUCUCUGAUCUCGGAAGCUAAGCAGGGUCGGGCCCGGUUAGUACUUGGAUGGGAGACCGCCUGGAAUACCAGGUGCUGUAAGCC